RNAcentral lists this long non-coding RNA (603 nucleotides) under Salvia miltiorrhiza (redroot sage). RNAcentral describes it as "long non-coding RNA (SMIL_LNC003933)". The record is from RNAcentral. Lineage: Eukaryota; Viridiplantae; Streptophyta; Magnoliopsida; Lamiales; Lamiaceae.
CUUCGGGGCUUGGAGAAUUCUCCGUGAAUCUCAGCGAUUCGCCUCCAUCAACGAUGACGUCCAUUCAUUUAAGCGCUCGAAGAAUUUCGCCGAGAGGGUGUACACGAAGACAUCCUCCGAUCCAAGCAUCACGACUAAGCUUAUAGGCUAAAAGACGGUGAAACGCGAUAAGGGGAUGGGUAAAAAGGUAGAGUCAUCGGCGUACACAGAACAUGGGCAAUACUUAUCGAUAAUGAAUAGGUUGCAACCUUCAUCAAAGAUUUCAACCAGACGUACGCGAACUAGCCGACACCCAAAUUAUCGGAAUGGACAAAUCAAAAAUGGGCCGAAAGAAUUGAUCAUCCACAAGGCAAUGGUUGUGAAAAUUUGCAAAUGUCGAUCGAUGAUGGAAUUUAUAAUUUAUUUAUUUAUUUAUUGUAAUUAGGGAUGGCAAUAAUACCCGCGGUACCCGACCCUAAUGGGUCAGGUAUGGGGGUGAAAUUUUGGGGGCGGGGUUCGGGGUCGGGUAUGAAACUUAUACCCGGGUCGGGUUCGGAUCGGGUUCGGGGGUAUAGGUACACGCCCCGAUUGUACUUUUAUAUGUUUCAUAGAAUUUGUGUUAGA